Molecule: long non-coding RNA, 312 nt
Filed under: Nicotiana benthamiana
Lineage: Eukaryota; Viridiplantae; Streptophyta; Magnoliopsida; Solanales; Solanaceae
Description: long non-coding RNA (NBEN_LNC036515)
Source: RNAcentral
CGGCCUUUAGGGAGUCUACUAUAUCUCCUCAUUCACCUUCCGCUACAGAAGUCUUACCCAUUCCAACCGUUGGAGAGUCUAGUGAGGCUCCUCCUAGACUCCCUCCAACAGACACUCCACUCUUGACAUAUCAUCGUCGUCCUCGCCCAGCAUCCGGCCCGGUUGAUUCACGUCCUGCACCUGACCCCGCUCCUACUGCGGACUUGUCUCUUCCGAUUGCACUUCGGAAAGGUCGGAACACCCUUAAUCCUAAUCCCCAUUAUAUUGGUUUAAGUUAUCAUCGUUUGUCAUCACAAUGCUUUUCUAUCUUCU